UGCAGCGAGCUGCUGUCCUGUGAGCUGUGCACCACCGCUCCUCCAGCGCCCAACGGCACCGGCUGCCUCUGGGGGGGCUGUGGGGCACCGGAGACGUGGAGCUGCGUGCGCAGCGGGGCGGCCACACGGGACACAUGUGUGCUCUACAACAGCAGUGCCCUGUGCCCAGCGGCACUGAAAUCCCCCACCAAAGAGCCACCGCGGUCCCCUAGCAAGGAGCCAGCAACGCAUUCCCCACG
This is a long non-coding RNA of Lagopus leucura (white-tailed ptarmigan), 239 nucleotides long. RefSeq lists it as uncharacterized. The transcript has 3 exons. Lineage: Eukaryota; Metazoa; Chordata; Aves; Galliformes; Phasianidae. The record is from RefSeq and is a predicted model, not a curated record.